UACGGAGGGUGCAAGCGUUGUUCGGAAUUACUGGGCGUAAAGGGCGCGUAGGCGGCUCAAUAAGUCUGUUGUGAAAUCCCGGGGCUUAACUCCGGACGUGCAGUGGAAACUAUUGGGCUUGAGUGUAGUAGAGGUUGGUGGAAUUCCCAGUGUAGAGGUGAAAUUCGUAGAUAUUGGGAGGAACACCGGUGGCGAAGGCGGCCAACUGGGCUACAACUGACGCUGAGGCGCGAAAGCGUGGGGAUCAAACAGG
Molecule: ribosomal RNA, 253 nt
Filed under: uncultured bacterium
Lineage: Bacteria
Description: partial 16S ribosomal RNA
Rfam family: Bacterial small subunit ribosomal RNA
Source: RNAcentral